Molecule: ribosomal RNA, 484 nt
Filed under: uncultured bacterium
Lineage: Bacteria
Description: partial 16S ribosomal RNA
Rfam family: Bacterial small subunit ribosomal RNA
Source: RNAcentral
AUUGAACGCUGGCGGCAGGCCUAACACAUGCAAGUCGAGCGGAUGAAGGGAGCUUGCUCCUGGAUUCAGCGGCGGACGGGUGAGUAAUGCCUAGGAAUCUGCCUGGUAGUGGGGUAUAACGUCCGGAAACGGGCGCUAAUACCGCAUACGUCCUGAGGGAGAAAGUGUGGGAUCUUCGGACCUCACGCUAUCAGAUGAGCCUAGGUCGGAUUAGCUAGUUGGUGGGGUAAAGGCCUACCAAGGCGACGAUCCGUAACUGGUCUGAGAGGAUGAUCAGUCACACUGGAACUGAGACACGGUCCAGACUCCUACGGGAGGCAGCAGUGGGGAAUAUUGGACAAUGGGCGAAAGCCUGAUCCAGCCAUGCCGCGUGUGUGAAGAAGGUCUUCGGAUUGUAAAGCACUUUAAGUGGGGAGGAAGGGCAGUAAGUUAAUACCUUGCUGUUUUGACGUUACCAACAGAAUAAGCACCGGCUAACUUCGUG